GAUGAACGCUAGCGGCAGGCCUAACACAUGCAAGUCGAGGGAGGAGCUUUCGGGCUUCGACCGGCGUACGGGUGCGUAACGCGUAUACAAUCUGCCUUUCACAUAGGGAUAGCCCGAAGAAAUUUGGAUUAAUACCUAAUGGUAUAUAGGAGUGGCAUCACAUUUAUAUUAAAGCUGAGGCGGUGAAAGAUGAGUAUGCGUUCUAUUAGCUAGUUGGAGAGGUAACGGCUCCCCAAGGCGACGAUAGAUAGGGGUUCUGAGAGGGAUAUCCCCCACACUGGUACUGAGAUACGGACCAGACUCCUACGGGAGGCAGCAGUGAGGAAUAUUGGACAAUGGUCGGAAGACUGAUCCAGCCAUGCCGCGUGCAGGAAGACGGCCUUAUGGGUUGUAAACUGCUUUUGCAGGGGAAGAAUAAGGACUACGAGUAGUUUGAUGACGGUACUCUGCGAAUAAGCAUCGGCUAAUUCCGUG
RNAcentral lists this ribosomal RNA (474 nucleotides) under uncultured bacterium. RNAcentral describes it as "partial 16S ribosomal RNA". It matches the Rfam family "Bacterial small subunit ribosomal RNA", at positions 28 to 507 of the family's 1533-position model. The record is from RNAcentral.